This 451-nucleotide ribosomal RNA is filed under the name uncultured bacterium. RNAcentral describes it as "bacterial SSU rRNA". It matches the Rfam family "Bacterial small subunit ribosomal RNA", at positions 354 to 796 of the family's 1533-position model. The record is from RNAcentral.
GUGAGGAAUCUUGCGCAAUGGGGGCAACCCUGACGCAGCAACGCCGCGUGAGUGAUGAAGGCCUUCGGGUCGUAAAGCUCUGUCAGAUGGGAAGAAAGUUUUCGCGACGAAUAAUCGCGAAAAUUGACGGUACCGUCAAAGGAAGCACCGGCUAACUCCGUGCCAGCAGCCGCGGUAAUACGGAGGGUGCUAGCGUUGUUCGGAAUUAUUGGGCGUAAAGAGCGUGUAGGCGGCCAGGUAAGUCAGAUGUGAAAACCCUUGGCUUAACCAAGGAAGGGCAUUUGAAACUGUCUGGCUUGAGUACGGGAGGGGGAAGUGGAAUUCCCGGUGUAGAGGUGAAAUUCGUAGAUAUCGGGAGGAACACCGGUGGCGAAGGCGGCUUCCUGGACUGAUACUGACGCUGAGACGCGAAAGCGUGGGGAGCAAACAGGAUUAGAAACCCCAGUAGUCC